UUUAAUGAGAGUUUGAUCCUGGCUCAGGACGAACGCUGGCGGCGUGCCUAAUACAUGCAAGUAGAACGCUGAGGUUUGGUGUUUACACUAGACUGAUGAGUUGCGAACGGGUGAGUAACGCGUAGGUAACCUGCCUCAUAGCGGGGGAUAACUAUUGGAAACGAUAGCUAAUACCGCAUAAGAGUAAUUAACACAUGUUGGUUAUUUAAAAGGAGCAAUUGCUUCACUGUGAGAUGGACCUGCGUUGUAUUAGCUAGUUGGUGAGGUAAAGGCUCACCAA
RNAcentral lists this ribosomal RNA (280 nucleotides) under Streptococcus agalactiae. Its description in RNAcentral is "partial 16S ribosomal RNA". It matches the Rfam family "Bacterial small subunit ribosomal RNA", at positions 1 to 271 of the family's 1533-position model. RNAcentral also lists the same sequence under 1 other name. The record is from RNAcentral. Lineage: Bacteria; Bacillati; Bacillota; Bacilli; Lactobacillales; Streptococcaceae.